Molecule: ribosomal RNA, 469 nt
Filed under: Cyclestheria hislopi
Lineage: Eukaryota; Metazoa; Arthropoda; Branchiopoda; Diplostraca; Cyclestheriidae
Description: eukaryotic LSU rRNA
Rfam family: Eukaryotic large subunit ribosomal RNA
Source: RNAcentral
AGUGCAGCUCUAAGCGGGAGGUAAACUCCUUCUAAGGCUAAAUACGGCCACGAGACCGAUAGCGAACAAGUACCGCGAGGGAAAGUUGAAAAGAACUUUGAAGAGAGAGUUCAAGAGUGCGUGAAACCGUUUGGAGGGUAAAACGGGUGGGCGCUCGAAGAUCGAACGAUCCUUACUCCCGCCAUCUGCACGCCAGUCUCUUGUAGAUCCUAACGUGUGCCCACGUCUUCACGGAUGUGAGUUUGCCACGGGUCUUGCAGGAGUUCACUGGCGGCCGUGCAGGGGCCGCAAGUUUGGGAUCUAGUAGGACUCCGCAACCGUCUGGAUAGACGUCAAACGGAACCUUCUUGAGUAUUCCACGGCUUGUCGUUCCGUUUCGGCGGUUAACUUCAAGCGGGGAGUGUUCCUGACGUUCUAGUCCGGACGUUAUCACCUGUUCGGAGAUGUGGAAAACCUUUUCCACGUCCCA